GCAUGGCAAGGGCUCCGCGCCUGCCUGCCUGCCUGCCACUGUAGCCGCCUCCGAAACUGAACCCGCCACAUCGUGGCCUUCUCGGUGCCUUCUGGAAAGAGGAGCGCAGGGCGAGCCUUGCCAGCAUAGCACCAGCAGGAAGCCUAAGGAACGCGGCGCGGGGGGUGGGGGGGAGGCCUUGGCCCGUUUACCUUUCGGAGGUAGCUAGUCACCACAUACUCGAAGGGGUAUCUGUAAAUUGUGUGUGCCUCCACGGUCACGCCCAUGGCGGGAGCACAGGAGCUGCUGCCCGCUCUGCAAUCUGGUUCCCAAACUUCGCCCGAUGGCCAGUCCCCUCCCCUCGCAGGCUGCUGCACCCCCCCGCUUCCCCUCCUCGUGCCAAAAGCUCCCGCGGUCGAGUUCACUGCAAUUUGAUCGAGUGCUAUCCGAUCGUCGCCUUCAGGCAAAUAAACCCCCUUGCCCGGUCGUGGAUUAAGCACAUGCGGACUAGCAAGGAAGGGAAAGGGCGGUCAAUCAAUAUUUCCUUUCUUGGAUUCGGUGGCCAGAGGAAGGAAGCGAUCGCACGCGUGGGAGUCUGUUUUACUAGCUCGGGAAAGUCAACUUCGUUUGAGUGUGUCCAGCCUUACAGUAGCCCUACCAGGCACUCUCAUUCAUCUGACAGAGUCGGACUACUUCCUUAAUCCCAAGCCCUCAUGAUCUUCCUGCCUCUAUGUCACUGGGACAGAAAACAAGAAUGCACACAUAGGCUGGGAGACAAAGGAUAGCCCUGUCAGCAGGUAGGAAUGGUGCAUCCAUAUCAUUCUGAGUUCUUUCUGUCUUUGUGGUUAUAUGCCUCAGAAAGAACUUAAAGCAUUGUCUUGCCAUGCCCAUUUGUGGCUGUCUUUCUGAAACCACAUAUGAAUUUUGGAGGUCAUACGUGAUUCCUUACAUAAAUUGUUCUUUACUGUUUUUGUUUUGUUUUCUGCAUUGUUUGACAUUCCUCAUCUAAUACUUUUUUUUUGCACUGGUUCUAAUUUUUGUAAUCUCAGUCCUAUUUCAUUUUUCUCAUGUGAUUUGAUCAUACUGCUUUACUCCAUGUAAAACACCAGAACAGCAGAACACCCAAUGAUAAAGGGAGGGGGUUAUAAAUGAAGUAAAUAAAUAAAUACAUGUUGUGAACAAUGUGUCACUUGUGUUACAAGCUUGAGCAAUCUCUGUGUUUAGUAUAGGUAGUACAAAUGGCCCACAUUUUUACCUCCCAAAAGCCGUGUAAUAGCUUUCACUAAGACCAGUCAAAAUAAGACAAAAUGUGCUAGUUUUGGGGUUGAUUUAAUCAGGCUGGAUGUUAAAAGGGUAGAAGAAAGAAUCAAGAUUCCUUGAGUCAUGCUCUUAAGGCCUGCCAUCAAGACAGCACCCUAUACAGACUCCUUAGCUAUAUUGCAACCAAUACAGGGCACCCUUGGCAUGUUGGGAACAAGAAGCAAACAAAUGGAAACUUUCCAGUUGAAAACAUUAACAACCAAUAAUUGAUCCAAUGUCAGUACAAAACUGAAAGGCUCUCUUGGGGCUCAGCUCUAGCCUUAUUACUGGUAUAGCAUCAGUAGAAAAUAUGUUGUAAAAAGGCACCUGCGCAUACUUGGGCCACUAAAGGGGUGAGAUGUUUGACUUGGUGAUAGAACCAGGGGUUAUGUGUUUUCUCCUGAUGCCUGUCUACAGGUGAACAAAUAGUUUUCUGCCUGUAACCUUCUUGCUUCCUAUCUUUUUUCUCUGUCCUUAGGAUCCAUGUGGACAAACUCCAAAAUGUCUACAAGCAGACCCACACACAUGUGGCCAGCUCAAUAAAUGUAUAGAAAUUAGUAUAUAUAGAUUAAUUCUUGAUGGAAGUGGAAUAUUGUUCAAUAAAGUAUGCUUUCUCGUUUAACACUG
Molecule: long non-coding RNA, 1905 nt
Organism: Sphaerodactylus townsendi
Lineage: Eukaryota; Metazoa; Chordata; Lepidosauria; Squamata; Sphaerodactylidae
Exons: 2
Source: RefSeq, a predicted model, not a curated record